This is a long non-coding RNA of Episyrphus balteatus (marmalade hoverfly), 2867 nucleotides long. RefSeq lists it as uncharacterized. The transcript is spliced from 2 exons. NCBI's taxonomy places the organism in Eukaryota, Metazoa, Arthropoda, Insecta, Diptera, Syrphidae. The record is from RefSeq and is a predicted model, not a curated record.
AGUAUAUAACAGUUUAUCUAUUGACAUCCAUAAGAAAAAUAAAUCACGUUGGGCGCCAUUUAUGGGUGAAAAUCUUAAACCAAAGAGUUUGUCAUUGAAAUGACAUGUGCUAUAACAUAUUUAGUACUCUAGAUAGAUUUUUAGACUCUUUUAAGUAUUUAGUAGUUUAUCAAUUGACAUCAAAUAAAAAAAAUAAUAAAUCACGUUGGGCGCCAUUUAAGACUGAUAAUCUUAAACCAAUGAAUUUUGUCAGUGAAAUGACAUGUGAAAUUCUAUGAAAACUGUUUAGAAUUCAUUUAGGUAGCAUUUCUUUUCUUUGCCUUAGAUUUACAAAAUUAAUACCGCUUUGGGCGCCAUUCAAGUAAACUUUUGGUGAAUUGAAAAUAUUUGUAUAGAUGCUAUAGAAAAUAAUCUUAGAUUUUUUGACAUUGAUAUUCAGAGGAAAAAAUCUCUAAUUUCAUAUCAAGUAUAUUUUUUUAGGGUUUGUCUUAGGUAUUUAGAGAUGAAAUCACGUUGGGCGCCAUUUAACGAAACAAAUACCUAACAAAUGAAAAGAUGUUUUUUUUUGUGGGGCAGGAUUGACAAAAUGCUUUAUAUUCUUUUCAUGGCUUUCUGAACUUAGCCUUUACGGUUUUCACAUAUCUUCACAAAAAGAAAUCACGCCACUUUAAAAAGCUGAGUAUAUAUUUGUUUUUAUUCAGGAUUUUUCAUUGAGUUCCUUGUUUUUAUAUAUUUUAUCUAUUGAAAAAACUCUGCAUUGAGCUAUUUAUUGAGUACUAAACAAUAAAUCAGUUGAUUAUGAAUUAAGAGCUGUUUCAAAGUGUUUAAUGCUACUCAUAUCUUCUAUUUAUUAAUUCAUAUCAACAAAUGCACUCAACAAUUCUUGUUAAUACAUUUACAAACUAUACAAAACGAAAAAAAAAUUGCAUCACAAGAUGUUUUCUUCUUCAUAUAAAAAUAUAGUUGCAUCAAUACUGGUCCAACCAUGAAGCCCUCUGGCACUCCAUAUUUACCAACGAACAAGAAUUUCCCAUGCAAUUUAUUGUUGUUGUUGCAGUUGUUGUUCUUUCCGGUUCAUUUUCAAUAAAUACAGGUUAUUUUUGUUGCUGUUGUUGUUGCAAUUAAUUGCACAUCUUCAUGUGGCGGGAUAACUCAACAUCCGGACCCUCAGGUUAAACAUUAAAUAGAAAUAAAAUUAAGCAAAACAUAAAAACAACCUCUCACAAAUUAAAUAACCCAAAAGCCAAAACCAAAAAACCAUUGAUGGAAUGAUGAUGAAGAAUGAAAUACAAAAACAAAAAGAAGAUAAAAGUUACCUAGGUACCCACCAAAAAUUUUGCAGCUUCUUUUGUUUUUGCUCUUUUUGUUGGUCCCUGGGGCAAGAUUCAAUAAAUCCUCUUUCCAAACCACCUCAGAACAACCACUCAUCUUUUAGCUUUUUUUAUUUUUUUCCUCUUUCCAUGGAGCGUUCUUAACGUUCGUUGUCGUGGUCGUCGUCGACUUUUGGGGUGUGUCGUAUACAACAAGAUUUUGCAAUUCAUGAUCUUGGCAUCGAGUGUAUUUUCGUUGUUGCAAAAAAAUUAUAACGAUGUCUUCCACACUAAAACCCAAACACACACGUAUAUGAAAGGUAUCCCAUUCAUCUUUUCUUGCUUGGGUGAAUCUUUCGUGCAGAUCGCAGUAAAAUUAUUACAAAAACAAAAAAAAUAUAAGAGAAGAAAAGAUCAUCAUCCACAAAAUCUUCAACCCAAACUCGAUCGCACACAAGGAACGGAAGUCAUUUCGAUAAUUACUUGUCACCAAUUCCAAUUUCAAUGCCUUCGAUCCAUGUCUGGGGCAAAAGGAAUUGCAUUUAAGUGGGCGCAAAAUGUGAUGUGAUGCGUGUCUGUUGUCGUUAAAAGAGAUGCGAGUUAGAUUCGAGAAAUAUCUUUCAGAAUAUGGCGUGUCUAACGAUUAUAUUCCUUAAAGUUGGUCUGUCUUGGUUAUGAAAAAGUAAGGAAACAAUACAAAAAAAAAAUAUCGAAGUUUUAUUUUUGAAAGGAGCAGCAUUUUUUGUAUUAUUUCGAGUGUGGGUUUAAGUGGGAAAAGUAUUAGAAAGGAUUUCAAGAAAUGUAACUUGGCGAUGUAUGAAGCUUAGAGAGGCUUAUAUUUUAUAUGAGAGAACCUACACAUGGUUUCAUACGUGGAAGGAAUGUUUAGUGGGGAAUAAAUGAUGAUGUUGUCAACUGAAAUAAGGAAAUCAGACUGUUCAAGUCGGAUUAGAUUGGAAUACUUAGGAUAACGAAGAAAGUACUAUUAAGACCCUUAUGUUAGAUAUUUGAAAAGGAACCUACAGUCAUUUAUAUGACCAGAUGAAAACAUUACAAAAAUAAAUUGAUUUGGUUAUUUCUAUAAAUAUAUAUAGCACAGUUGCAAAAAAAUUAAUUUGUAUAAAAAAAAACUCAAAUUUUGGACUAUUUUUUUUUUUUUUACAACUCAGUUUAUUCCUUUUAAGUAAUUCUAAUCGAAAAUAACUUCUAGCCAAUUACAUUUUUAUUAAAGAAUGAAAAAAUUAAAAAAACAACUCGUUAAUGUCGUAAAUUUGACUGUGAUCAAAUCAAUCCUUUCUAUGAUAUAUACGACAAAAUCCACUGCAGUUAAUACGCUUUAACUGACUGGUGUAACCCAUUCUUGUUGGAUAUAUAACGUAUCACAAGAAGCAAACAAUUGAAAUGUAGAAGAAAUCUUUGAAAAUCCGCUUAUAUUCCCUGUAAACUUGACUGGUAUAAACUAAAAAUCUCGCAAAUUACAUUCUAUGUUAUUUGUUAUUAAAUUUUGACUGGUAUAAAUACAUAAAUAAAUCAACUAUUCAAGGCAAAGGUGUUAAA